This 841-nucleotide ribosomal RNA is filed under the name Ischnopoda objecta. RNAcentral's name for it is "SSU rRNA". It matches the Rfam family "Eukaryotic small subunit ribosomal RNA", at positions 455 to 1225 of the family's 1831-position model. The record is from RNAcentral. Lineage: Eukaryota; Metazoa; Arthropoda; Insecta; Coleoptera; Staphylinidae.
CACGGGGAGGUAGUGACGAAAAAUAACGAUACGGGACUCAUCCGAGGCCCCGUAAUCGGAAUGAGUACACUUUAAAACUUUUCCCGAGGAUCAAUUGGAGGGUAAGUCUGGUGCCAGCAGCCGCGGUAAUUCCAGCUCCAAUAGCGUAUAUUAAAGUUGUUGCGGUUAAAAAGCUCGUAGUCGAAUCUGUGUCCCGCGCCGCUGGUUCAUCGCUCGCGGUGUUUAACUGGCGUGUCUCGCGGGACGUCCUGCCGGUGGGCGCUCGUAUCGCUUCGGUGGUGCGUGGCCCAACUCGUAGCCGUCUCGCGCGGUUGCGAAUCCCAUCGCGGUGCUCUUUGUUGAGUGUCGAGGUGGGCCGGCACGUUUACUUUGAACAAAUUAGAGUGCUUAAAGCAGGCCAAUUUUGCCUGAAUAUUGUGUGCAUGGAAUAAUGAAAUAGGACCUCGGUUCUAUUUUGUUGGUUUUCGGAACCCCGAGGUAAUGAUUAAUAGGAACGGAUGGGGGCAUUCGUAUUGCGACGUUAGAGGUGAAAUUCUUGGAUCGUCGCAAGACGGACAGAAGCGAAAGCAUUUGCCAAAAACGCUUUCAUUGAUCAAGAACGAAAGUUAGAGGUUCGAAGGCGAUCAGAUACCGCCCUAGUUCUAACCAUAAACGAUGCCAGCUAGCGAUCCGCCGACGUUCCUCCGAUGACUCGGCGGGCAGCUUCCGGGAAACCAAAGCUUUUGGGUUCCGGGGGAAGUAUGGUUGCAAAGCUGAAACUUAAAGGAAUUGACGGAAGGGCACCACCAGGAGUGGAGCCUGCGGCUUAAUUUGACUCAACACGGGACACCUCACCAGGCCC